This is a small nucleolar RNA of Cynoglossus semilaevis (tongue sole), 131 nucleotides long. Ensembl annotates it as small nucleolar RNA SNORA3/SNORA45 family. The record is from Ensembl. Lineage: Eukaryota; Metazoa; Chordata; Actinopteri; Pleuronectiformes; Cynoglossidae.
AGCGAGGCUAGAGUCACGCCUGGGUACUGCCCGUUGUCCUGGUGUGCUAGAGUGCUCGCAGAGCAAUGUCUUUGUUUAUUCAUUGGCUGCAGUCUUCCGUGGCCCAGUCAAUCACCGACUCAGAUACAUUA